This 38-nucleotide transfer RNA is filed under the name Canis lupus (wolf). Its description in RNAcentral is "partial tRNA-Trp". Lineage: Eukaryota; Metazoa; Chordata; Mammalia; Carnivora; Canidae. The record is from RNAcentral.
AGGAGUUUAGGUUAGACCAGACCAAGAGCCUUCAAAGC